UACCGUUGAGGGAAAGUUGAAAAGAACUUUGAAGAGAGAGUUCAAGAGUACGUGAAACCGUUCAGGGGUAAACCUGAGAAACCCAAAAGAUCGAAUGGGGAGAUUCAACGUAAACUUUGCCGAUUGCCGUGUAACGCGCGAUAUUUGUUAUCUCGGUAACGAGUACGCCGUUGCUGCGGUUUGUAUUGGUUAAGUAAGCGUGCACUUCUCCCCUAGUAGGACGUCGCGACCCGUUGGGUGCCGGCCUACGGCCCGCAAGGUCGACUGUUGCUUGGGCGUUUACGCGCCUCUCGUGGCAGACCUGCGGAUGCCCGGCCGGCUGCCCGGCGGUAGUGAUUAAUCAAGAAUUGGUAUUUGGCCGCAUCUCGUAUGUGCGUACCGGCUCAUUGGCAGGCUCGCCUUGCUCGGUAAACGGACCUAGCGCCGUUGCCGGGUACUUGGUGGGUCGUUCGCUGACGAUGUCCUCGUACUGGCUAUUACCGGUCGGCGACGCUACUGCUUUGGGUACUUUCAGGACCCGUCUUGAACACCGGACCAAA
Molecule: ribosomal RNA, 539 nt
Filed under: Aphytis fisheri
Lineage: Eukaryota; Metazoa; Arthropoda; Insecta; Hymenoptera; Aphelinidae
Description: partial large subunit ribosomal RNA
Rfam family: Eukaryotic large subunit ribosomal RNA
Source: RNAcentral